This 481-nucleotide ribosomal RNA is filed under the name uncultured bacterium. RNAcentral describes it as "bacterial SSU rRNA". It matches the Rfam family "Bacterial small subunit ribosomal RNA", at positions 30 to 504 of the family's 1533-position model. The record is from RNAcentral.
UGAACGCUAGCGGCAGGCUUAACACAUGCAAGUCGAGGGGUAACAGGGAAAGCUUGCUUUUCGCUGACGACCGGCGCACGGGUGCGUAACGCGUAUAGAACCUACCUUUUACAGAGGGAUAGCCUUUAGAAAUGAAGAUUAAUACCUCAUGGUAUUGAGAACUGGCAUCAGUUUUUAAUUAAAGAUUUAUCGGUAAAAGAUGGCUAUGCGUCCUAUUAGUUAGAUGGUAAGGUAACGGCUUACCAUGACAAUGAUAGGUAGGGGUCCUGAGAGGGAGAUCCCCCACACUGGUACUGAGACACGGACCAGACUCCUACGGGAGGCAGCAGUGAGGAAUAUUGGGCAAUGGAGGCAACUCUGACCCAGCCAUGCCGCGUGCAGGAAGACGGCCCUAUGGGUUGUAAACUGCUUUUAUACGGGAAGAAACCCCACUACGUGUAGUGGUUUGACGGUACCGUAAGAAUAAGCACCGGCUAACUCC